GAUGAACGCUGGCGGCGUGCCUAAUACAUGCAAGUCGAGCGAACGGACGAGAAGCUUGCUUCUCUGAUGUUAUCGGCGGACGGGUGAGUAACACGUGGAUAACCUACCUAUAAGACUGGGAUAACUUCGGGAAACCGGAGCUAAUACCGGAUAAUAUUUUGAACCGCAUGGUUCAAAAGUGAAAGACGGUCUUGCUGUCACUUAUAGAUGGAUCCGCGCUGCAUUAGCUAGUUGGUAAGGUAACGGCUUACCAAGGCAACGAUGCAUAGCCGACCUGAGAGGGUGAUCGGCCACACUGGAACUGAGACACGGUCCAGACUCCUACAGGAGGCAGCAGUAGGGAAUCUUCCGCAAUGGGCGAAAGCCUGACGGAGCAACGCCGCGUGAGUGAUGAAGGUCUUCGGAUCGUAAAACUCUGUUAUUAGGGAAGAACAUAUGUGUAAGUAACUGUGCACAUCUUGACGGUACCUAAUCAGAAAGCCACGGCUAACUACGUG
Molecule: ribosomal RNA, 497 nt
Filed under: uncultured bacterium
Lineage: Bacteria
Description: partial 16S ribosomal RNA
Rfam family: Bacterial small subunit ribosomal RNA
Source: RNAcentral